UAUCCUACGGGAGGCAGCAGUGAGGAAUAUUGGUCAAUGGGCGGGAGCCUGAACCAGCCAAGUCGCGUGAGGGAUGACGGCCCUAUGGGUUGUAAACCUCUUUUGCCGGGGAGCAAAGUGCCGCACGUGUGCGGUUUGGAGAGUACCCGGAGAAAGAGCAUCGGCUAACUCCGUGCCAGCAGCCGCGGUAAUACGGAGGUGGCCAGCGUUAUCCGGAUUUAUUGGGUGUAAAGGGCGUGUAGGCGGGAAUGCAAGUCAGAUGUGAAAACUAUGGGCUCAACCCAUAGCCUGCAUUUGAAACUGUU
RNAcentral lists this ribosomal RNA (305 nucleotides) under uncultured bacterium. RNAcentral describes it as "bacterial SSU rRNA". It matches the Rfam family "Bacterial small subunit ribosomal RNA", at positions 335 to 637 of the family's 1533-position model. The record is from RNAcentral.